RNAcentral lists this long non-coding RNA (207 nucleotides) under Ananas comosus (pineapple). Its description in RNAcentral is "long non-coding RNA (ACOM_LNC039222)". The record is from RNAcentral. Lineage: Eukaryota; Viridiplantae; Streptophyta; Magnoliopsida; Poales; Bromeliaceae.
CAAAUUGGGAAUUUUUCUUCGCAGCAGGUCUUCGAGCUUCGUUGAGCUGAAUUCGUACUCUUAGAAGCUGGUUUGGAAGCUGCUCUAACCAAGGGUAAGCAGGAAAUUCCGUUAGAAAUUCAAUUUCGCAAGAAUUGAACUAUAUAAGCUCAUAUACAAGCAUUUUGACGCCGUUUCGGUAUUGUUCGCAGCGAGAGGAUUUUUGAC